GAUGAACGCUGGCGGCGUGCCUAAUACAUGCAAGUCGAGCGAACAGACGAGGAGCUUGCUCCUUCGACGUUAGCGGCGGACGGGUGAGUAACACGUAGGUAACCUACCUAUAAGACUGGGGUAACUUCGGGAAACCGGAGCUACUACCGGAUAAUAUUUCGAACCGCAUGGUUCGAUAGUGAAAGAUGGCUUUGCUAUCACUUAUAGAUGGACCUGCGCCGUAUUAGCUAGUUGGUAAGGUAACGGCUUACCAAGGCAACGAUACGUAGCCGACCGGAGAGGUGGAUCGGCCACACGGGAGCGAGGACCCGGACCCAACCCCGACGGGAGGCACCGGUGGGAAUACUGCCGGAAGGGGCGAUGGCCGAUCGGGGCAAAUCGGCGGGAGUGAGAAAGGGCUACGGUUCGUAAGACUCUGUGAUUGGAGAGGAACAAAGGUGUAUUAAACGGGGCACUUCUGAAGGGAACCUAAGAAUAAGGCCAGGCCAAAUUAGUG
This 496-nucleotide ribosomal RNA is filed under the name uncultured bacterium. RNAcentral describes it as "partial 16S ribosomal RNA". It matches the Rfam family "Bacterial small subunit ribosomal RNA", at positions 28 to 507 of the family's 1533-position model. The record is from RNAcentral.